CGGUGAAGCCCAGCUUGCUGGGUGGAUCAGUGGCGAACGGGUGAGUAACACGUGAGCAACCUGCCCUCCACUUUGGGAUAAGCCUUGGAAACGGGGUCUAAUACCGGAUAUGAGCUCGCAUCGCAUGGUGUGGGUUGGAAAGUUUUUCGGUGGGGGAUGGGCUCGCGGCCUAUCAGCUUGUUGGUGGGGUGAUGGCCUACCAAGGCGUCGACGGGUAGCCGGCCUGAGAGGGCGACCGGCCACACUGGGACUGAGACACGGCCCAGACUCCUACGGGAGGCAGCAGUGGGGAAUAUUGCACAAUGGGCGCAAGCCUGAUGCAGCGACGCCGCGUGAGGGAUGACGGCCUUCGGGUUGUAAACCUCUUUCAGCAGGGAAGAAGCGCAAGUGACGGUACCUGCAGAAGAAGCGCCGGCUAACUACGCGCCAGCAGCCGCGGUAAUACGUAGGGCGCAAGCGUUGUCCGGAAUUAUUGGGCGUAAAGAGCUCGUAGGCGGUCUGUCGCGUCUGGUGUGAAAUCCCGAGGCUCAACCUCGGGCUUGCAUCGGGUACGGGCAGACUAGAGUGCGGUAGGGGAGACUGGAAUUCCUGGUGUAGCGGUGGAAUGCGCAGAUAUCAGGAGGAACACCGAUGGCGAAGGCAGGUCUCUGGGCCGCAACUGACGCUGAGGAGCGAAAGCAUGGGGAGCGAACAGGAUUAGAUACCCUGGUAGUCCAUGCCGUAAACGUUGGGCACUAGGUGUGGGGCUCAUUCCACGAGUUCCGUGCCGCAGCUAACGCAUUAAGUGCCCCGCCUGGGGAGUACGGCCGCAAGGCUAAAACUCAAAGGAAUUGACGGGGGCCCGCACAAGCGGCGGAGCAUGCGGAUUAAUUCGAUGCAACGCGAAGAACCUUACCAAGGCUUGACAUGUACGAGAAAGCCCCCGAGACGGGGUUCUCUUUGGACACUCGUACACAGGUGGUGCAUGGUUGUCGUCAGCUCGUGUCGUGAGAUGUUGGGUUAAGUCCCGCAACGAGCGCAACCCUCGUCCUAUGUUGCCAGCGGGUUAUGCCGGGGACUCAUGGGAGACUGCCGGGGUCAACUCGGAGGAAGGUGGGGAUGACGUCAAAUCAUCAUGCCCCUUAUGUCUUGGGCUUCACGCAUGCUACAAUGGCCGGUACAGAGGGCUGCGAUACCGUAAGGUGGAGCGAAUCCCAAAAAGCCGGU
RNAcentral lists this ribosomal RNA (1206 nucleotides) under uncultured bacterium. RNAcentral describes it as "bacterial SSU rRNA". It matches the Rfam family "Bacterial small subunit ribosomal RNA", at positions 67 to 1286 of the family's 1533-position model. The record is from RNAcentral.